GGUGCCCGUGGUGAAACGGUUAUCACAGGGGUUUGUGGUACCUCUAUUACGGGUUCGAUUCCCCUUCACCA
This 71-nucleotide transfer RNA is filed under the name Patescibacteria group bacterium. RNAcentral's name for it is "tRNA-His". The record is from RNAcentral.